UAAUAAUUUAUUGUUUCCAAGGAGGUACAACCAUAUUAAAUUCCUUACCCUUUUAAUACAGUGACUUGAGAAUUGACAAAACCCACAAACACUUUACUGAGAAAUAAGGAUGAGUGCAUACCUCAAAAUCAUUAACCAUUUAUUUAAAAUCUAAAAUGCCACCUCGUUAGCUCCAUUGACCGAUAAGAGAGAAGUGGGUGACAAGUGUGUGUUUGUGUGUCAUGCAGUCAUUCCUUUCCUGGAUCCUUCCUGUUUGUCUGACACCUACACUGCAACAUUCCAUUCCAAAUCAGUGAGAAGAAGUGACACUAAGGAUGCACAUUACACAACAAGCACCUUGCCAUUUCUAUAACUGAAAGGUUGUAACAGUAGCCCUGCUGAGCUACACUGAAAGGUUGUAACAGUAGCCCUGCUGAGCUACACUGAAAGGUUGUAACAGUAGCCCUGCUGAGCUACACUGAAAGGUUGUAACAGUAGCCCUGCUGAGCUACACUGAAAGGUUGUAACAGUAGCCCUGCUGAGCUACACUGAAAGGUUGUAACAGUAGCCCUGCUGAGCUACACUGAAAGGUUGUAACAGUAGCCCUGCUGAGCUACACUGAAAGGUUGUAACAGUAGCCCUGCUGAGCUACACUGAAAGGUUGUAACAGUAGCCCUGCUGAGCUACACUGAAAGGUUGUAACAGUAGCCCUGCUGAGCUACACUGAAAGGUUGUAACAGUAGCCCUGCUGAGCUACACUGAAAGGUUGUAACAAUAGCCCUGCUGAGCUACACUGAAAGGUUGUAACAGUAGCCCUGCUGAGCUACACUGAAAUGAUCCUCUUCCACUUUCCAACUCACUGCACCAUCUUUCCAUUGGCAAACAAACUUUUCCAAAACCGCUCAAAAAAAUGCCCAAACCACUGAGAAUAGAAAACAUGCACUGGUUUAUGUCAUGCGGUGGAGAUGCAAGCUAGUGGAUACUUGUGUUUCAUUAUGAGGGGAACUAUAUGACAAGUUUCCAGUUUUCCUUCGGAGACGACUACAGAUGAGCACUGAUGAACACAUCAAACAGAACUCUAAGAGGAAGAAGAAAUAAGAAA
Molecule: long non-coding RNA, 1081 nt
Organism: Oncorhynchus nerka (sockeye salmon)
Lineage: Eukaryota; Metazoa; Chordata; Actinopteri; Salmoniformes; Salmonidae
Exons: 3
Source: RefSeq, a predicted model, not a curated record